Molecule: unclassified non-coding RNA, 546 nt
Filed under: Hevea brasiliensis (rubber tree)
Lineage: Eukaryota; Viridiplantae; Streptophyta; Magnoliopsida; Malpighiales; Euphorbiaceae
Source: RNAcentral
CUUCCACUCUUCUUGGAUUUCAGGUUUGUUCUUGCUUUCUGUUUCUUCUUACAAAGCGAAAUAGUUGGUUAUUGUCUUUGUUUUAUUUUUGUAUGCAUUUGUUUUAUUUUUUCAACUCUACUUCUCUUUAAGCUUUAUUUGAUUAUUUUACCGAGACAGUAGUGGAACAAGAACAGUUUUUUCCUUUGUUUGAUGCUUAAGUUUUGUUUAUAGCUUGAAUCGAGUGGUACUGAGUGCUCUGCUUCAGGGAUCAGUGCAAAUCGAAUUGUGAUUUUCUGAACCUAUUUCAGCUUAGUUUUUUGGCUUAUGAAUCACCAGCGACCUGAUUUGUCCGCAUUAACACCCCAUUUAGUUUUUAUGCUUAUGUUUAUUAACGUAUGGUAUCUUAUCCUAUGGGCUUUUAUGGAUUUUAUUGUUAACAUGUUUUGAUGCAAAGAUGACAUGGAAUAUUAAGGUAAAAUAAAUAUAAAAAUUAUUAAAAUAUUCUAUUAAUAUUUUAAAUAUAUAAAUAGUUUAAAUGGUAAGAUAUAAUUGAAAUUUUAUAAA